RNAcentral lists this ribosomal RNA (467 nucleotides) under uncultured bacterium. Its description in RNAcentral is "partial 16S ribosomal RNA". It matches the Rfam family "Bacterial small subunit ribosomal RNA", at positions 28 to 507 of the family's 1533-position model. The record is from RNAcentral.
GACGAACGCUGGCGGCGUGCUUAACACAUGCAAGUCGAACGGAAAGGCCCUGCUUUUGUGGGGUGCUCGAGUGGCGAACGGGUGAGUAACACGUGAGUAACCUGCCCUUGACUUUGGGAUAACUUCAGGAAACUGGGGCUAAUACCGGAUAGGAGCUCCUGCUGCAUGGUGGGGGUUGGAAAGUUUCGGCGGUUGGGGAUGGACUCGCGGCUUAUCAGCUUGUUGGUGGGGUAGUGGCUUACCAAGGCUUUGACGGGUAGCCGGCCUGAGAGGGUGACCGGCCACAGUGGGACUGAGAUACGGCCCAGACUCCUACGGGAGGCAGCAGUGGGGAAUAUUGCACAAUGGGCGGAAGCCUGAUGCAGCAACGCCGCGUGCGGGAUGACGGCCUUCGGGUUGUAAACCGCUUUCGCCUGUGACGAAGCGUGAGUGACGGUAUGGGUAAAGAAGCACCGGCUAACUACGUG